This 411-nucleotide ribosomal RNA is filed under the name Tripos fusus. RNAcentral describes it as "partial Bacterial small subunit ribosomal RNA". It matches the Rfam family "Bacterial small subunit ribosomal RNA", at positions 93 to 539 of the family's 1533-position model. Lineage: Eukaryota; Dinophyceae; Gonyaulacales; Ceratiaceae. The record is from RNAcentral.
GAGCGGCGGACGGGUUAGUAACGCGUGGGAAUAUGCCCUUCUCUACGGAAUAGCCAUUGGAAACGAUGAGUAAUACCGUAUACACCCUUCGGGGGAAAGAUUUAUCGGAGAAGGAUUAGCCCGCGUUAGAUUAGAUAGUUGGUGGGGUAAUGGCCUACCAAGUCUACGAUCUAUAGCUGGUUUUAGAGGAUGAUCAGCCACACUGGGACUGAGACACGGCCCAGACUCCUACGGGAGGCAGCAGUGGGGAAUCUUGCACAAUGGGCGAAAGCCUGAUGCAGCCAUGCCGCGUGAAUGAUGAAGGCCUUAGGGUUGUAAAAUUCUUUCGCUAGGGAUGAUAAUGACAGUACCUAGUAAAGAAGCCCCGGCUAACUUCGUGCCAGCAGCCGCGGUAAUACGAAGGGGGCUAGC